Molecule: RNA transcript, 1430 nt
Organism: Dunckerocampus dactyliophorus (ringed pipefish)
Lineage: Eukaryota; Metazoa; Chordata; Actinopteri; Syngnathiformes; Syngnathidae
Gene: dnajc17
Gene name: DnaJ (Hsp40) homolog, subfamily C, member 17
Exons: 15
Source: RefSeq, a predicted model, not a curated record
UUGAAAGGUCGGUUACGUCAAAUUCAUGGCGCCAACCAAAACAAACAUUAGCAGUUGUCGAGCAGUGCUUUGUUUCUACCGUUUAUGCUGAUAUUUUGGUCUAAGUAUUGAAAAUUACCGUGAGCAGAAAUGUCUGGAAAAGCAAAGGAAAUCCUGCAGAUGGACCUUUAUGGUUUGCUUGGAAUUGAAAACACUGCUACAACGAAGGAGAUCAAGAAAGCCUAUCGACAGAAAGCUCUGACAUGCCAUCCAGACAAGAACCCAGACAACCCAAAAGCAGCUGAGCUCUUCCACCAGUUGUCCCAGGCUCUGGAGGUGCUUACUGAUGCUGCUGCCAAGGCCGCCUAUGACAAAAUUUGUGCUGCCAAAAAACAAGCGGAGGAACGAAACCGCAAACUUGAUGACAAAAGAAAGAAGAUUAAGCUAGACCUUGAAGCAAGAGAACGACAAGCAGAGGCUCAAACCCAAGAUGAAGUGCAAAUCACAAGAACACUCGAAGAAGAGAUAGCUCGUUUGAGGGAGGAGGGCUCCAGACAGCUUGAGGAAGAACAGAGGCUCAUCAGGGAGCAGAUCCAAAAAGAAAGAGAAGCACAGCAGAACACAGACUACACUCAGAGAAACUCUGGUGUCGAGAGAUGUUCCAGGAGCAACGUCACCCCAAAAUUGAAGUUGAAGUGGAAGUGUAAAAAAGACGACGAGACAAAUGGAGGCUACAGUCAAGAGUUCAUUUUUAAACUUCUACAAAAGUACGGAGAUGUUUUGAAUGUGAUCAUAUCAAGUAAGAAGCGAGGAAGCGCUGUGGUUGAGUUCGCAACUGUGAGGGCAGCUGAGCUGGCAGUGAAGAAUGAAAGUGGCCGGAGUGAAAACCCAUUGAAGAUUUCCUGGCUUGAGGGACAACCGGAAGCUGCUCCUGCAUCUCAGUUCAUGUCUACACAGGGCUCUCUUUCCAAUGAGCGUGACUAUGAAAGUGUGGUGAUGAUGAAGAUGAGGCAGGCCGCUGAGCGGCAGCGGCUCAUUGAAGAAAUACAGAAGGAGGACGAGGAAGAAGAAGCCAUGUCCUAGUGCUAGAAGACCUGGCUCGGCAACAGCCUGCGGCCAGUAAACGGAACACCUGUUUUAAGUGAAGAAGUGAAGGUGCUGGUAGGAUAAGUACUGUACUUGUCCAGUGAAAGCAGCUGAGACGUUUAGCGAUCCAAGCCACAGUCCCCACGAAUCAGCCAUCGAGCCAAUUUUAGAACACAAGACCACCUGGGAGCACUGAAGAUUGCAGCCAUGGAAAUAAGCCAUUAGACUUUAUUGUCUCCGAGUUGGAUGAUGCAUCUUCCAAAUAUAAUUACAUCAGGACGUAUCCCUUUGUCAUCUUGUGCAGUAAAAGGCAUGGAUGAAUUUCCUCUGUGGUGCCGGAUCCAUCCUAACGGGAGGAAAUGAAA